This 5574-nucleotide long non-coding RNA is filed under the name Sus scrofa (pig). RNAcentral's name for it is "lncRNA (ENSSSCG00030022839.1)". The record is from RNAcentral. Lineage: Eukaryota; Metazoa; Chordata; Mammalia; Artiodactyla; Suidae.
GAGCAACCUGAGCAUGAUGAUAUAUUGAGAGAGAAAAGUCAGGACAGAGGAGAGAUGGAAAGAGAAGAGAGGAGAUGGUUGGUGGCAAAGCUUGCAGGAGCUGGUGUGAAAUUAUUGCAUAUUCCUAGAGCUUAACUCAUGGUCUAUAAGGACAGGAAGGCACUGGCCAUUAGUUUUGAGCAGCAUAUUACAGAAGGACCAGGGCUUUCUUAUAUGCUAGCAGGGGGCCCAGGAUCCAGCUUGCUUACUUGUCCAUUCACUUGUCAGGUCAGUCAGCUAAUAUUUUUUUUCAGUGCUCAUCCUGUGUUUGCAGUUGGAUUUCUGCUCUGCAGUGAUAGGUCGUGAGCUCAGUGGAGUUCUCUUGACACCGCAGACCAUCAACAUCAAAUGACUGAUGAAAUAAGGAAUUAUACAGCUCUAUCCAUUGUGAUACAAGAGUAUGAACAUUAGAGCAUAUGUAUUACAGGGAACUGACAUGGUCUCAGGGUAUAAAGGAAGGUGUUUCUAAUGAUAGAAUGUUUAAGCUUGUACCUAACAGAAGCCUCUCUUGUUACCAUAUUAUCUGUCGCUUCCCUAUACUGCCUCCUGUCAUCAUCUCAUUCCUGGUUCUCUAUUCAUUGUUGGGCUCAGUCUUUUCUCUUGAGCAUUUGAAGUGUAUAGUAUCAGUGGUUAGUGGGGUGGGAAAAUGUUCAGGAACCAAGGCUUGGCAGGAUCUUUCUCAAGCCUGCUAUUGCUUCAUUGUAGAGACUGCAUAGGAACUAAAUGGCCGUUUAAUUUUAUUCAUGCUACAGUGAUUCCCAUUAGGGAAUGAAAAGGGUUUUGGGAAUGGCAGAUCGAUGGUCAGCCACAGCCACAACUGAUUUAGCCUCUUAACAUCCUUUGGUGGAAACCACAAGCAGCCCAGAUCCUGUCACUUCUUAUUAGGAAUUUUUGGUAACAGCCAAUGAAAGCUAGUUUUUUGGUUUUUUUUUUUCUUUCUUUCAUUUAAAAUUUUAAUACUGUCUGGGUCAAGUGAUUGGGGAAUAAACAUCCACUCAUGUUUCCAUCUGCAGGGAAGUGAAGGUACUGUUGCUGCUAUGAUUUUGCAUUUAUAUAGCACUUGAGUGUUGGCUAAGUGCUUUUACAAUCGAUUUUAUUGUUCAGUUUAAAAGAUAGCCUAAAAUCACCUCUGUCAGAAUUUGUUUGAUAUGAUUCAGUGAAAAGGUCCUUUGAAAAAAAUGGACCUUAUGUUAUGUGGAAGAACUCUGAUUAGUCAAAAGACUAGAUAUAUGACAACAUGAAUGUCAUCUAGGAGUUCCCAUUGUGGUGUAGUGGAAACAAAUCCAACUAGUAUCCAUGAAGAUGUGGGUUUGAUCCCUGGCCUUGCUCAGUGGGUUAAGGAUCUGGCAUUGCCAUGAGGUGUAGUGUAGGGUGUAGGUCACAGACUAGGCUCGGAUCUGGCAUUGCUGUGGCUGUGGUGUAGGCCGGCAGAAGCCAACCCCCAUCAUGGCUUGGUUUGUGACCAGGGCACACAGGGAUGUUUUAUGAGUGACAGUAUGUGUCCUUUAAUAUAUUUAUCCUCAAAGCCUUAGCUUUUAUUGAGAGCAAGCACUGGCAGAAUUUAUCUGUACAAGACCAAUUAGUAAUAUAUCAGGCUUUGAGGGUCCUGCUCUUUCUUUAGCAACUAUGCAGCUCUGAAGUUGUAGCACUGUAGUAGCGAUGGACAAUACAUAGGCUAAAGGACAUGGCUCUUCAGUAAAAAAAAAAAAGUGGUUUUGGGGAGAAGGCCACCCAGAUUUGGCUUGUGCACCACAGUUUGCCAAUGUCUGACCCACAGUACUUCUGAGAUUCCUUUACUGAACAGAGGGUGUUUCAGAAGGCAGUGCUUGGCAGUCAGCUGAUAGCUCUAUGAAACCAGAGAUGGACUUGUCUUGCUAACCGUUGUGGCUCCAGGUCUAACACAGCACCUGUCAGGAGAUAAUUAAGCAUCUCUGUUGAAUAAAGGAAUGAGUAGCACGGAUCCCAGAUGGAGAAUUACCUGACGAAAGGAGGAUGGUUGCAUAAACAGAUUUUCAGGUUCUAUAGCAUGUAUUCUAUGGUGCUACCAUGUAAGGUAGAGCAAUUCUAUUUCAGCGGAGAGCUUAGUUCAGAGAACACAUACGGGGGCCGUCUGAAGAAUGAGAAAGGGCCAGUGCUGUAAAUGCAUAAUGAAGAACAGAGACCUAUGAUGCCCCAGGGCCUGGAUGGAAAAGGCAGUCCAGCCUCUUCCCCAGUCUGGGGCUUUCAUGUUUGUCCCAUUUUCCGUGGCUUCACUCACAUUUGUGCUGGAUGGUUCCCUGUUGGCCUUUGGGAUCUUUUUCUGUCCCUCCGCCUCUCAGGUUCACACCGGUCCCUGCUCCCUCUGUGGUCCUGAAGGUGAUCCUGGAGAAUGGAAGGUCACAGCUCCUGCCACCCCGUCCUCUGCUUUCAGGGGUCUCUCUCUGUUCCAGUCCCUGCUUCUUCUUCUCAUCCUUUAAGGCCCAGGGAAGUGAAAGACACCCUGGCCCAUUCUGGUGUUACUGGCCCCCAGAACAUUGUCUUACCCCCCUUGGGUUUCAGACACCUUUAAAAUUAGUCUCUUUAUUAAACUCUCCUCACAUUACCCAAAUUGAGGUACCAAGAGCUUUCUUCCUUCAGCCUAAUGAAUAGAGUAUCCUUAACAUUUUUUCAAAGACACCUAUUGGAAUUCCCAUCGUGGCUUAGCGGUUAACAAAUCUGACUAGGAACCAUGAGGUUGCGGGUUUGAUCCCUAGCCUUGCUCAGUGGGUUAAGGAUCCGGCAUUGCCGUGAGCUGUGGUGUAGGUUGCAGAUGCUGCUCAGAUCCCGUGUUGCUGUGCCUCUGGCGUACGCCGGUGGCUACAGCUCUGAUUCAACCCCUGGCCUGGGAACCUCCAUAUGCUGCAGGGGCAGCCCAAGAAAUGGCAAAAAGACCCCCAAAAAAACCCUCCAAAUCAAAGACACCUAUUGUAUGUCACUGUGACUGAAAGAUGUUUAAGUCCCCUGAAGUGAGUGGCUAUGGCUUCUGUUUCUUAGAAUCACAAAAUCUCAGGAAGCAAGUUAUUCUGGAAGGUGAUCUAACUCUUCAGAGUUUGGGUGUGUUCUGCUCCGUGUCUUUCAUUUUUCACUCUACUUGAAUACCUUGUACAGCAGGGAACUCAGUACUCCUAAAGUUCCCUCACAGGUCUUCAGCCACAUCUGCCUGAUAGAAUGGUAGAAUAUGUAGAGACAACUUCCACCCUCUGCCCUCAUCCUGUCCCCCAGGGUUUCAUGAAACAAGUCCAAUUUGCAUUUCAUUUCUCUGUUCUUCAGAGGGCAGGGUUUUGAGUUCCUUGACCAGCUCAAUCUCUUUAAAAGCUGGGUGCCUGGAGCAGAAGCUCUUUUCCUCUGCAUUGUCCGAUCAUGCUGAGUGAGCACUGGCAUGGUGACUACUCAGAAGGCUUACUGCCUUCAUGAUUUUGAGAAGAUCCGUACUUCCUCCUUUCUUGCUUGGAAAUGCAAGGGGAACAGGUCUGACCCCACUCUAGUCCCUCCCCACCUCCACUGAUUAUUUUUUCUAUAUUUUUAAAUUAUUUCUUUGUGGCCACCCCUUUGGCAUAUGGUAGUUCCCGGGCCAGGGAUCAAAUCAGAGCUGCAGCUGCAACCUAUGCUGCAGCUGCAACCUAUGCUGGAUCCUUUGACCCACUCCACUGGGCCAGGGAUUGUGCCUCCACACUGACCUGAGCCGCUGCAGUGGGAUUCAUAAUCCAUUCUGCCACAGCAGGAACUCCUUAUCUCCGUUGACUUAAGCAUCACUUGUAUGAACAGUUGCUUUUGAUGAUGGCUAAAUUUUUUCCCUGAAUUGGAUUUAUCUAUACCUACAAGCUAUCCUCAAGGGAGUAAAGUAGUUUAUAAAUUACAGAUCUUUAGAGGGCUAGGUCUACCAUCUGGUUUUCUUUUGUUUUUCCUCAGAUUUUAAGAGUACAUUUAUUUUCCUUUAAGUACUUUUGGGGCACUAUUUAAAGUAUUUGGCUGAAUUUUUUAUUGAGGUUUUAAAUCUGAACAUCAGAUAUAAGCAGAUUCAUAGGUUUUUUAGUAUUUUGUUUGUUUUAUUUUGGGGAUAUUUACUAUGUAUAUGCCAUUACUGUACCUCUUGCAUUUUGGAAAUAUAAAAAAAAUAUUGAAAUGCAAUAUUUUGGGACUGAUAAUCAAGUUGACUUUAAGGAAAUAUUCUGAAGUAGGUUCUUAAGUGUAUCAUUCAAGUCCAUUUUUAUAAUGAAAGUCCAAUUUCUUUUUUAAUAAGCCUUCAAAGUAUCUGUCAGCUUCUUUAAUUCUUCCUUCCAAUUUAUUCAGUGAGCUCAUGCCCCAUUUGGUUUUUGAUUAGAUUGCUUUCACCACGGCAGAAUUCUGGAAAAUAAAUCCUUUUGUACUUAAUGUGUGCCUUGGUUUAAUCUGGGUGAAUAGAACAAUGAAAACAACCCAUUAGAAAAUAAUUUUGAUUUCUGGAGAAAGAGAUGUGGCUUUCUUAAUCUUUAAUAAUUGCUAGGAAUUAUAUGCCGGGGAUCUUUGCUGAUGGCUCCUUUUCCUAUGCCUUCCUUCUACUUUCAUGAAUUUUUUCUUUCAAGAUUAAAAAACCAAACAAAACAUACUUAAGAUUCUUUACAAUGACUUCUCCAUUGGUUUGUAAUAGCUGAUGGUUUAUGAUCUUUUUCUUUUCAACUCUUUUUUUUUUUUUAAGUGAAAUUGAGUUGAAAUUUGGGUUACUUCUGAGGUGAAAUGCCUGCUUCUUCUUUUUUUUUUUUUUUUGUCUUUUCUAGGGCUGCACUGGUGGCAUAUGGAGGUUCCCAGGCUAGGGAGUCUAAUUUGAGCUGUAGCCGCCAGCCUAUGCCAGAGCCACAGCAAUACGGGAUCCUCAUACCACUGAGCGAGGCCAGGGAUCAAACUUUACUAUUAGUUUACUUUAUCCCAAGUUCUGUUAUUCAUGCAUUAGUUGGCAUUUUAUUUAUUUUCUUAUUUGUUGGCUUCACCUGAUAGGAAAAAAAAAACUAACAAACAAAAGAUCAUCCCUAUUUACAGUGCCUGGCAUAGCCAAUAAAUGAUGUAUAUUUGUUGGGAAUAUACAGAAUGUAAGUUUCUCAUGACAAUCUGCCUUUUUGUGACAGUGCUCAAAACUUUUAUGUAGUCCCCAAGAAGUUGCUGCUUUCUGAAAAAAUUCCAUUUUUAUAAAUAUGAUGCCUAAAGCAUCUAUUCUUAUAAGAUUUCCUUGCCUUUUAACUGAAAAAAUUCAUCUACCAUCUGUCAUCCGUCUAUUUAUUUGAUAAUUUCCAAGCACAAUUUUAUCUAUAUAGAAUCUAUAGAUUUUUUAAAUGACUUAUGUUACCAAUAAACUCUCUUCAUCAAAAUCAGUUUCCCCAAACCCAAAUCAUAGUGAUUUAAAAAGAACUGUACAAUUAACUAUAAUAGAAAAACUAAAAAUCUUAAAACAAAAUGAUAAAAUAAAAUAAAAAGAGAUGAAUACACUCAGGCAAGUAACUAUAGCAUCAUUGGAGGUAGGGAGUGAAGCAGUGUUUCAGCUCAAAG